This is a long non-coding RNA of Cydia strobilella, 576 nucleotides long. RefSeq lists it as uncharacterized. The transcript is spliced from 3 exons. The record is from RefSeq and is a predicted model, not a curated record. Lineage: Eukaryota; Metazoa; Arthropoda; Insecta; Lepidoptera; Tortricidae.
CUGCUGACUCUCUGUCUUAGAAGGAUUUCUCUUUAGCAUGGAUGAAACGAAAGAUGCGAUUAUACUUGGCUUCGUGAUUUAUUUCAUUCUAAUAACGCUUCUACUCAUAAUCAACGAAGCUUUCUGCAAAGCAUCUUGCAUGAAGUAUGCCCGCCAGGUCGCUAACGGACACCUGCAAGACAUAGAAACCAACGAGAGAAGACCCUCGAAAGUAAUCACCAGGUCCCCUUCGCGAUAUGACCGAGGCGACGUACCUAAACAUUACUACCAGAAUAGCAACUGUAUGUAUGUCGUUUAACUAGUUUGAGCAACUUUCAAUAGAUGGCGUUAUAACGAUUAGUUCUGCUACUCGCCGGUAGAUGGGGCGAUUUUUAAAUUCAAACAAAUUGUUAGCUCGUAAAAAAGUUUAAUUUAUUAUCGACCUUACAUUACCAAUGAAAUAAAUAUACAAAAUCAGACGUUUCUUUAAUAUUAAACCCACUUAAACACUACUUUUACUCUUAAUUUGUCUUAAUAUAAAUAAUUAUUCUUGUUUUCUUAUUACAAAUCUGUCAAUAAAAAAUUCUACAAUACUUA